AUUGAACGCUGGCGGCAGGCCUAACACAUGCAAGUCGAGCGGAUGAAGGGAGCUUGCUCCUGGAUUCAGCGGCGGACGGGUGAGUAAUGCCUAGGAAUCUGCCUGGUAGUGGGGGAUAACGUCCGGAAACGGGCGCUAAUACCGCAUACGUCCUGAGGGAGAAAGUGGGGGAUCUUCGGACCUCACGCUAUCAGAUGAGCCUAGGUCGGAUUAGCUAGUUGGUGGGGUAAAGGCCUACCAAGGCGACGAUCCGUAACUGGUCUGAGAGGAUGAUCAGUCACACUGGAACUGAGACACGGUCCAGACUCCUACGGGAGGCAGCAGUGGGGAAUAUUGGACAAUGUGCGAAAGCCUGAUCCAGCCAUGCCGCGUGUGUGAAGAAGGUCUUCGGAUUGUAAAGCACUUUAAGUUGGGAGGAAGGGCAGUAAGUUAAUACCUUGCUGUUUUGACGUGACCAACAGAAUAAGCACCGGCUAACUUCG
This 482-nucleotide ribosomal RNA is filed under the name uncultured bacterium. RNAcentral's name for it is "partial 16S ribosomal RNA". It matches the Rfam family "Bacterial small subunit ribosomal RNA", at positions 30 to 505 of the family's 1533-position model. The record is from RNAcentral.